RNAcentral lists this long non-coding RNA (200 nucleotides) under Linum usitatissimum (flax). RNAcentral's name for it is "long non-coding RNA (LUSI_LNC006602)". The record is from RNAcentral. Lineage: Eukaryota; Viridiplantae; Streptophyta; Magnoliopsida; Malpighiales; Linaceae.
UGGUGGUUUGAUUGGGGAGGAGGAGUGAAUUUUAGGGUUAGGAUUUGUUUGGGGCUAUCCACUUUAAUUUUUUUUAAGUUUAGCAUUUUUUUCUAAGGUCGUGUUUUUUUGUUAAAAUAAUUUGAGUUGUGUUAUAAAACUAAACUCAAAGAAAGACAAGAACAAGAGAAAAUAUGGAGAGGGAGAGAGUUUUCUUAUUG